Molecule: ribosomal RNA, 474 nt
Filed under: Ceuthospora sp. 15-NL
Lineage: Eukaryota; Fungi; Ascomycota; Leotiomycetes; Phacidiales; Phacidiaceae
Description: LSU rRNA
Rfam family: Eukaryotic large subunit ribosomal RNA
Source: RNAcentral
CUCAAAUUUGAAAUCUGGCUCUUUCAGGGUCCGAGUUGUAAUUUGUAGAGGAUGUUUCGGGUGUGGCUCCGGUCUAAGUUCCUUGGAACAGGACGUCAUAGAGGGUGAGAAUCCCGUAUGUGACUGGUAGCCUAUGCCCAUGUGAAACUCCUUCGACGAGUCGAGUUGUUUGGGAAUGCAGCUCAAAAUGGGUGGUAAAUUUCAUCUAAAGCUAAAUAUUGGCCAGAGACCGAUAGCGCACAAGUAGAGUGAUCGAAAGAUGAAAAGCACUUUGGAAAGAGAGUUAAACAGUACGUGAAAUUGUUGAAAGGGAAGCGCUUGCAACCAGACUUGCAUGUAGCUGAUCAACCGGUGUUCUCACCGGUGCACUCAGUUGCGUUCAGGCCAGCAUCGGUUUCGACGGUUGGAUAAAGGCCUUGGGAAUGUAGCUCCUUUCGGGGAGUGUUAUAGCCCAGGGUGCAAUGCAGCCUGUCG